UAUUUUUAAUUUAUUUCACUCCCUCUUUUUCUUUGUUAUUCACUGUCUCGCUCUUCACCAUAGCAAUGCCUCUCUUCCUCUGUCUCUCCACCACAUCACAACAACCAUAGCUCACCACCACUACAACCACCGGAAAUCACAUACCUAUACUUAGAAAAUCACAUACCAUAUUCAUACUGAAAAUCACAUCCAUUAGCAGCAGCAACUAGCUACCAUCACCACCACCACUCUGUGUUUAUGAAAAACCAAUUUCAACUGCAGGUGCUUGGCAGCAAAAGGUGUAGAGUCUGAUUUGCCGAGGAUUAUCGUUCCCUUUGCCCAGGUGACUGGAGCCUAAAACGGAGAUGGAAGACACAAACACAGACACAAACAAAUCUGGGAGUUGUGCCACAAUUGAUGGGAGUUGUAUCACAAUUGAUGAAGAUUAAACAUUUUGUAUUAAUUUAGUAGUUUUUUUUUAAUUUCUUAGACUUGUUGGAUUAAUAUGUUGGUUUGUAAUUAUUCUAAACUUGUGGGAUUUAUUUUGUAGCUUUUUAAUUUCUUGGACUCGUUGAACUUUUGAUACUUAUUUCUUGGACUUGUUUGAUUUAUUUUAUUUUUAUGUUUAGCUA
This is a long non-coding RNA of Quercus robur (English oak), 611 nucleotides long. RefSeq lists it as uncharacterized. The transcript is spliced from 2 exons. The record is from RefSeq and is a predicted model, not a curated record. NCBI's taxonomy places the organism in Eukaryota, Viridiplantae, Streptophyta, Magnoliopsida, Fagales, Fagaceae.